UCCAGGAGUCGCAAGUUAUCUUGGGACCUCAAAAGGAGAGGAAUUUACUCAACUCACAGGAUAUAUUAUUCAACCCAUCCACAAGAGCAUCUCUCCAGGAGAAAUAAACAGGCGUUACUUUUGAUGAACUAGAGCUAUUCUAAGUAAAGCCUUCAGAUGAGUUCAGCACCAAUCAACAUUCUGAAUGCAACCACGUGAGGACCCUGAGUCAGGUCCACUGAGUCAAGCUGCUUUGGAAUUCCUGACCUACAGAAACCGAAUACCAGGAUAGAGAGAAAGAGAAGCCACAAUGAUACCACAGAAAGAAAGCUAGACAUCUUCAUUCAGGUGAGAGAAAGAGUGGAAGAAGAGAAAACUAAUCCAGUGCUGGAUGCUUCCUUCUGCUCCUCCUGCCCUUUGACAUCAGAUUCAAGGUUCUUUGGCCUCUGGACUUGGGACUUGCACCAGUGGCUUGCCAGGGGCUCUUGGGCCUUUGGCCACAGACUGAAGGCUGCACCGUCAGCUUCCUUGGUUUUGAGGCUUUCAGUCUUGGACUGAGCACUGGCUUCUCUCUUCCCUAGCUUACAGACAGCCUGUCGUGGGACUUUGGCUUGUAAUUAUGUGAGCCAAUUUUCCCUAAUAAACUCUCUUUCAUGUAUACAUAUAUCCUAUU
RNAcentral lists this long non-coding RNA (652 nucleotides) under Homo sapiens (human). Its description in RNAcentral is "HSALNT0281068". Lineage: Eukaryota; Metazoa; Chordata; Mammalia; Primates; Hominidae. The record is from RNAcentral.